AUGGCUCAGUGGUAGAGUGCUUGCCUUGCAUGCAUGAGGCUCUGGGUUUGAUUCCUCAGU
RNAcentral lists this transfer RNA (60 nucleotides) under Dipodomys ordii (Ord's kangaroo rat). It matches the Rfam family "tRNA", at positions 7 to 64 of the family's 71-position model. From Rfam's summary of the family: Transfer RNA (tRNA) molecules are approximately 80 nucleotides in length. The record is from Rfam by way of RNAcentral. Lineage: Eukaryota; Metazoa; Chordata; Mammalia; Rodentia; Heteromyidae.